Molecule: ribosomal RNA, 433 nt
Filed under: uncultured bacterium
Lineage: Bacteria
Description: bacterial SSU rRNA
Rfam family: Bacterial small subunit ribosomal RNA
Source: RNAcentral
AACGAACGCUGGCGGCAUGCCUAAUACAUGCAAGUCGAACGAAGGCUUCGGCCUUAGUGGCGCACGGGUGCGUAACGCGUGGGAAUCUACCCUUGGGUUCGGAAUAACUCGCCGAAAGGCGUGCUAAUACCGGAUGAUGACGUAAGUCCAAAGAUUUAUCGCCCAGGGAUGAGCCCGCGUAGGAUUAGCUUGUUGGUGAGGUAAAAGCUCACCAAGGCGACGAUCCUUAGCUGGUCUGAGAGGAUGAUCAGCCACACUGGGACUGAGACACGGCCCAGACUCCUACGGGAGGCAGCAGUAGGGAAUAUUGGACAAUGGGGGAAACCCUGAUCCAGCAAUGCCGCGUGAGUGAUGAAGGCCUUAGGGUUGUAAAGCUCUUUUACCCGAGAUGAUAAUGACAGUAUCGGGAGAAUAAGCUCCGGCUAACUCCGUG